RNAcentral lists this ribosomal RNA (703 nucleotides) under uncultured Bacteroidales bacterium. RNAcentral describes it as "bacterial SSU rRNA". It matches the Rfam family "Bacterial small subunit ribosomal RNA", at positions 45 to 735 of the family's 1533-position model. The record is from RNAcentral. Lineage: Bacteria; Pseudomonadati; Bacteroidota; Bacteroidia; Bacteroidales.
GGCUUAACACAUGCAAGUCGAGGGGCAGCAUGGUCUUAGCUUGCUAAGGCUGAUGGCGACCGGCGCACGGGUGAGUAACACGUAUCCAACCUGCCGUCUACUCUUGGCCAGCCUUCUGAAAGGAAGAUUAAUCCAGGAUGGCAUCAUGAGUUCACAUGUCCGCAUGAUUAAAGGUAUUUUCCGGUAGACGAUGGGGAUGCGUUCCAUUAGAUAGUAGGCGGGGUAACGGCCCACCUAGUCAACGAUGGAUAGGGGUUCUGAGAGGAAGGUCCCCCACAUUGGAACUGAGACACGGUCCAAACUCCUACGGGAGGCAGCAGUGAGGAAUAUUGGUCAAUGGGCGAUGGCCUGAACCAGCCAAGUAGCGUGAAGGAUGACUGCCCUAUGGGUUGUAAACUUCUUUUAUAAAGGAAUAAAGUCGGGUAUGCAUACCCGUUUGCAUGUACUUUAUGAAUAAGGAUCGGCUAACUCCGUGCCAGCAGCCGCGGUAAUACGGAGGAUCCGAGCGUUAUCCGGAUUUAUUGGGUUUAAAGGGAGCGUAGAUGGAUGUUUAAGUCAGUUGUGAAAGUUUGCGGCUCAACCGUAAAAUUGCAGUUGAUACUGGAUGUCUUGAGUGCAGUUGAGGCAGGCGGAAUUCGUGGUGUAGCGGUGAAAUGCUUAGAUAUCACGAAGAACUCCGAUUGCGAAGGCAGCCUGCUAAGCU